This 423-nucleotide long non-coding RNA is filed under the name Gossypium barbadense (sea-island cotton). RNAcentral's name for it is "long non-coding RNA (GBAR_LNC006449)". The record is from RNAcentral. Lineage: Eukaryota; Viridiplantae; Streptophyta; Magnoliopsida; Malvales; Malvaceae.
UUUGAAUCCCCUCUUUCGAUUAGUAGGGGAUUCCUUAGCUUAGCAUCAAUCCCAUUCUUUGCGGAUAAAAGUACACUACCCUGCUUGCCUGUAACCUUCUGCUUGCUUGACUACAGUCACUCCUAUUAGGUCACGAACUUCCUUAACUUAAGAGAGCUGGGUACCCCUUAUUUGAUUUGCUGACAGUUGCCCCUGAUUCUCUUGUGAAUUCCAACAUGCCCUCAAGCAAGGGUCUCUCAUCCAUGCAUGAUCUAAAUGCCUCUCCUUUAGUCGAGUUACUACGUUCCUUGAGCAGGGAGUGGUCUGGGGCAACCCUUGAGACCACACCAUCUACGACCAUCAUACACAAGACUUUGGGCCUACUCUAGCUCCAGAUAAAGGAUCUCUCUAUCUGAAAGGGUAGUGAGUUACUGUCGAAGUGUC